Small nuclear RNA from Cricetulus griseus (Chinese hamster), 153 nucleotides. Its record names the gene U1. It matches the Rfam family "U1 spliceosomal RNA". From Rfam's summary of the family: U1 is a small nuclear RNA (snRNA) component of the spliceosome (involved in pre-mRNA splicing). Lineage: Eukaryota; Metazoa; Chordata; Mammalia; Rodentia; Cricetidae. The record is from Ensembl.
AUACUUGGUCAGGGAGAGAUACAUGACCAUAUAGGUAGUUUUCCCAGGCCAGGGCAUGUCCAUUGCCUGGGUUUGCUGGAUCCUGACUUCCCAGCAUGUGGGGAGAACUGACAUUCAUUGCAGGAAAUGGGGCUAUGUUCACAUUUUCCCCUA